GAUGAACGCUGGCGGCGUGCCUAAUACAUGCAAGUCGAGCGAACAGACGAGGAGCUUGCUCCUCUGACGUUAGCGGCGGACGGGUGAGUAACACGUGGAUAACCUACCUAUAAGACUGGGAUAACUUCGGGAAACCGGAGCUAAUACCGGAUAAUAUAUUGAACCGCAUGGUUCAAUAGUGAAAGACGGUUUUGCUGUCACUUAUAGAUGGAUCCGCGCCGCAUUAGCUAGUUGGUAAGGUAACGGCUUACCAAGGCAACGAUGCGUAGCCGACCUGAGAGGGUGAUCGGCCACACUGGAACUGAGACACGGUCCAGACUCCUACGGGAGGCAGCAGGAGGGAAUCUUCCGCAAUGGGCGAAAGCCUGACGGAGCAACGCCGCGGGAGUGAUGAAGGUCUUCGGAUCGUAAAACUCUGUUAUUAGGGAAGAACAAAUGUGUAAGUAACUAUGCACGUCUUGACGGUACCUAAUCAGAAAGCCACGGCUAACUACGU
Molecule: ribosomal RNA, 496 nt
Filed under: uncultured bacterium
Lineage: Bacteria
Description: partial 16S ribosomal RNA
Rfam family: Bacterial small subunit ribosomal RNA
Source: RNAcentral